Molecule: ribosomal RNA, 495 nt
Filed under: uncultured bacterium
Lineage: Bacteria
Description: partial 16S ribosomal RNA
Rfam family: Bacterial small subunit ribosomal RNA
Source: RNAcentral
GAUGAACGCUGGCGGCGUGCCUAAUACAUGCAAGUAGAACGCUGAAGGAGGAGCUUGCUCUUCUGGAUGAGUUGCGAACGGGUGAGUAACGCGUAGGUAACCUGCCUGGUAGCGGGGGAUAACUAUUGGAAACGAUAGCUAAUACCGCAUGACAACAGUUAUUGCAUGAUAACUGUUGAAAAGGGGCAACUGCUCCACUACCAGAUGGACCUGCGUUGUAUUAGCUAGUUGGUGAGGUAACGGCUCACCAUGGCGAGGAUACAUAGCAGACCGGCGAGGGGGAUCGGCCACACUGGGACUGAGACCCGGCACAGACUCCUAGGGGAGGCAGCAGUAGGGAAACUUCGGCAAUGGACGGAAGUCUGACCGAGCAACGCCGAGUGAGUGAAGAAGGUUUUCGGGUCGUAAAGCUCUGUUGUAAGAGAAGAACGAGUGUGAGAGUGGAAAGUUCACACUGUGACGGUAACUUACCAGAAAGGGACGGCUAACUACGUG